This 1485-nucleotide ribosomal RNA is filed under the name Prochlorococcus marinus str. MIT 9515. RNAcentral's name for it is "16S ribosomal RNA". It matches the Rfam family "Bacterial small subunit ribosomal RNA". The record is from RNAcentral. Lineage: Bacteria; Bacillati; Cyanobacteriota; Cyanophyceae; Synechococcales; Prochlorococcaceae.
ACACAACGGAGAGUUUGAUCCUGGCUCAGGAUGAACGCUGGCGGCGUGCUUAACACAUGCAAGUCGAACGAACCUUCGGGUUAGUGGCGGACGGGUGAGUAACGCGUGAGAAUCUGCCCUCAGGAGGGGGAUAACGGUUGGAAACGACCGCUAAUACCCCAUAUGCCGAUAGGUGAAAUGAAUUUCGCCUGAGGAUGAGCUCGCGUCUGAUUAGCUUGUUGGUGAGGUAAUGGCUCACCAAGGCUUCGAUCAGUAGCUGGUCUGAGAGGAUGAUCAGCCACACUGGGACUGAGACACGGCCCAGACUCCUACGGGAGGCAGCAGUGGGGAAUUUUCCGCAAUGGGCGAAAGCCUGACGGAGCAACGCCGCGUGAGGGACGAAGGCCUCUGGGCUGUAAACCUCUUUUCUCAAGGAAGAAGAUAUGACGGUACUUGAGGAAUAAGCCACGGCUAAUUCCGUGCCAGCAGCCGCGGUAAUACGGGAGUGGCAAGCGUUAUCCGGAAUUAUUGGGCGUAAAGCGUCCGCAGGCGGCCUUUCAAGUCUGCUGUUAAAGCGUGGAGCUUAACUCCAUCAUGGCAGUGGAAACUGAUCGGCUUGAGUAUGGUAGGGGCAGAGGGAAUUCCCGGUGUAGCGGUGAAAUGCGUAGAUAUCGGGAAGAACACCAGUGGCGAAGGCGCUCUGCUGGGCCAUUACUGACGCUCAUGGACGAAAGCCAGGGGAGCGAAAGGGAUUAGAUACCCCUGUAGUCCUGGCCGUAAACGAUGAACACUAGGUGUCGGGGGAAUCGACCCCUUCGGUGUCGUAGCUAACGCGUUAAGUGUUCCGCCUGGGGAGUACGCACGCAAGUGUGAAACUCAAAGGAAUUGACGGGGGCCCGCACAAGCGGUGGAGUAUGUGGUUUAAUUCGAUGCAACGCGAAGAACCUUACCAGGGUUUGACAUCCUGAGAACCUCUUAGAAAUUUGAGGGUGCCUUCGGGAAUUCAGUGACAGGUGGUGCAUGGCUGUCGUCAGCUCGUGUCGUGAGAUGUUGGGUUAAGUCCCGCAACGAGCGCAACCCACGUUUUUAGUUGCCAGCAUUUAGUUGGGCACUCUAGAAAGACCGCCGGUGAUAAACCGGAGGAAGGUGUGGAUGACGUCAAGUCAUCAUGCCCCUUACACCCUGGGCUACACACGUACUACAAUGCUACGGACAAAGGGCAGCAAACUCGCGAGAGCUAGCAAAUCCCAUAAACCGUGGCUCAGUUCAGAUCGUAGGCUGCAACUCGCCUACGUGAAGUAGGAAUCGCUAGUAAUCGCAGGUCAGCAUACUGCGGUGAAUACGUUCCCGGGCCUUGUACACACCGCCCGUCACACCAUGGAAGUUGGCCAUGCCCGAAGUCGUUACUCCAACCCUUGUGGAGGAGGACGCCGAAGGUGGGGCUAAUGACUGGGGUGAAGUCGUAACAAGGUAGCCGUACCGGAAGGUGCGGCUGGAUCACCUCCU